Small nucleolar RNA from Propithecus coquereli (Coquerel's sifaka), 129 nucleotides. NCBI's taxonomy places the organism in Eukaryota, Metazoa, Chordata, Mammalia, Primates, Indriidae. The record is from Ensembl.
AAUUUUGUUAUAUAUAAGAUAAAAAAUCUUUAUUGCCUUAGUGUGCUAGAGUCCUCGAAGAGUAACUGCUGACCUUGUUCGCUGGCUGUGGCUCCCAAGGCACAGUCAGUCACCAGGUUAGUGACAUGC